GACGAACGCUGGCGGCGUGCUUAACACAUGCAAGUCGAACGGAAAGGCCCUGCUUUUGUGGGGUGCUCGAGUGGCGAACGGGUGAGUAACACGUGAGUAACCUGCCCUUGACUUUGGGAUAACUUCAGGAAACUGGGGCUAAUACCGGAUAGGAGCUCCUGCUGCAUGGUGGGGGUUGGAAAGUUUCGGCGGUUGGGGAUGGACUCGCGGCUUAUCAGCUUGUUGGUGGGGUAGUGGCUUACCAAGGCUUUGACGGGUAGCCGGCCUGAGAGGGUGACCGGCCACAUUGGGACUGAGAUACGGCCCAGACUCCUACGGGAGGCAGCAGUGGGGAAUAUUGCACAAUGGGCGGAAGCCUGAUGCAGCAACGCCGCGUGCGGGAUGACGGCCUUCGGGUUGUAUACCGCUUUCGCCUGUGACGAAGCGUGAGUGACGGUAAUGGGUAAAGAAGCACCGGCUAACUACG
This 466-nucleotide ribosomal RNA is filed under the name uncultured bacterium. Its description in RNAcentral is "partial 16S ribosomal RNA". It matches the Rfam family "Bacterial small subunit ribosomal RNA", at positions 28 to 505 of the family's 1533-position model. The record is from RNAcentral.